Molecule: ribosomal RNA, 769 nt
Filed under: Bacillus cereus
Lineage: Bacteria; Bacillati; Bacillota; Bacilli; Caryophanales; Bacillaceae
Description: bacterial SSU rRNA
Rfam family: Bacterial small subunit ribosomal RNA
Source: RNAcentral
AUGGGAGCUUGCUCCCUGAUGUUAGCGGCGGACGGGUGAGUAACACGUGGGUAACCUGCCUGUAAGACUGGGAUAACUCCGGGAAACCGGGGCUAAUACCGGAUGGUUGUCUGAACCGCAUGGUUCAGACAUAAAAGGUGGCUUCGGCUACCACUUACAGAUGGACCCGCGGCGCAUUAGCUAGUUGGUGAGGUAACGGCUCACCAAGGCGACGAUGCGUAGCCGACCUGAGAGGGUGAUCGGCCACACUGGGACUGAGACACGGCCCAGACUCCUACGGGAGGCAGCAGUAGGGAAUCUUCCGCAAUGGACGAAAGUCUGACGGAGCAACGCCGCGUGAGUGAUGAAGGUUUUCGGAUCGUAAAGCUCUGUUGUUAGGGAAGAACAAGUGCCGUUCAAAUAGGGCGGCACCUUGACGGUACCUAACCAGAAAGCCACGGCUAACUACGUGCCAGCAGCCGCGGUAAUACGUAGGUGGCAAGCGUUGUCCGGAAUUAUUGGGCGUAAAGGGCUCGCAGGCGGUUUCUUAAGUCUGAUGUGAAAGCCCCCGGCUCAACCGGGGAGGGUCAUUGGAAACUGGGGAACUUGAGUGCAGAAGAGGAGAGUGGAAUUCCACGUGUAGCGGUGAAAUGCGUAGAGAUGUGGAGGAACACCAGUGGCGAAGGCGACUCUCUGGUCUGUAACUGACGCUGAGGAGCGAAAGCGUGGGGAGCGAACAGGAUUAGAUACCCUGGUAGUCCACGCCGUAAACGAUGAGUGCUAAGUGUUA